Molecule: non-coding RNA, 26 nt
Filed under: Homo sapiens (human)
Lineage: Eukaryota; Metazoa; Chordata; Mammalia; Primates; Hominidae
Source: RNAcentral
GGAAAAAAAGCAAGAUGCCUCAAUGC